This 233-nucleotide ribosomal RNA is filed under the name uncultured bacterium. RNAcentral's name for it is "partial 16S ribosomal RNA". It matches the Rfam family "Bacterial small subunit ribosomal RNA", at positions 30 to 264 of the family's 1533-position model. The record is from RNAcentral.
UUGAACGCUGGCGGCAUGCCUUACACAUGCAAGUCGAACGGCAGCGCGGGCUUCGGCCUGGCGGCGAGUGGCGAACGGGUGAGUAAUACAUCGGAACGUGCCCUGUUGUGGGGGAUAACUAGUCGAAAGAUUAGCUAAUACCGCAUACGACCUGAGGGUGAAAGCGGGGGACCGUAAGGCCUCGCGCAAUAGGAGCGGCCGAUGUCUGAUUAGCUAGUUGGUGGGGUAAAGGC